This 331-nucleotide ribosomal RNA is filed under the name Paravaejovis puritanus. RNAcentral describes it as "partial 12S ribosomal RNA". The record is from RNAcentral. Lineage: Eukaryota; Metazoa; Arthropoda; Arachnida; Scorpiones; Vaejovidae.
UAAAAUUUAUAAAAUUAGGUAGUAAAGAAAUUUCUGAAACCUAAAGAAUUUGGCGGUAUUUUAAAUAAUUGGAGGAACCUGUUAUUUAAUUGACAAUCCACAACAUAUCUUACCUAAAUUUUAUUUGUAUAUCGUCGUUUUGAUAAUAUUUAAAAAUUAUGAUCAAUUUUAAUAAAUUUUUUAAAUUCAGGUCAAGGUGCAGUAUAUUUAGGUCAUAAUGGGUUACAAUAUAUUUAUAUAUAAUGAAUAUAAACUUGAAAAUUAUAUUGAAAGUGGAUUCAAAAGUAAAAUUAAAUUAAAAAGUUAAUUUGAUUAAUAAUUUAAAAUAUGC